Long non-coding RNA from Anolis carolinensis (green anole), 775 nucleotides. RefSeq lists it as uncharacterized. The transcript is spliced from 2 exons. NCBI's taxonomy places the organism in Eukaryota, Metazoa, Chordata, Lepidosauria, Squamata, Anolidae. The record is from RefSeq and is a predicted model, not a curated record.
GUGUUCCUCCAUGUAUUCAGAUUAGAUCUUCUGAUAUUCUGAUAUUUUUAAAGGCCCAAUUGAAUAAACUUCUGUUCAACACAGUGUAUCUCAAAUUCAGUUGAGGUAGCAGAGCUCGCUGGGUCCAGACUCACAUUCUAUUUUUUGUCAAAGAAUGUAUGCUUCAUAACAAAAUUGAGCCUUCUUUUCCUUGCUUGAAAAUCUGAAGAUCAUGAACAAGUGAAGGGAGAAAGAAAGCCAGGUGAAUCAUAUCAUUUCAGAUGACACAUGACACAUGAUAUAAUGUAUUCAUUUUUGGAUAGUCAUGUCUCAGGGUUUCCAGAACUAAUGAAAACAUUUCCCAGAGUGGUAUACCAUCUGAUGAAUGAAAUAUCACAAUAACACUUGUGAUAUAUACUUAUUACAUGGUUCUCCAUUUGGAAUUUGAAAAUCAGCUGUGUCCUGUUUACAUGUGGAAAAAUGCAAAGGCGGUAUUUGAAGAGAGGCCCCACAAAACGCCACAGUUCAUCAAUAAUACAAAUGGUGUAUAUGAUAAAUGUCUGCGCACCUCCUCUAAAAGUAAACCAUGUGUUCUGCCAAGCACUGGAUAAAUUCACCAAGAAAAGAUAGACUGACACCAUCUCUCACACCUCUCAGUAGGAAAAGGCCAAAUUCUUGUUGCUAUCUGAUGCUAGAAGUUGUACCUUUUCUAGGCUUGCAAAAAAUGGGGGACAAUAGAUAAUGGCUUAUAUUUUAUUGACUAGAAUAUACCCAUUAAAUCAAUUGUAUAUACUUA